This 72-nucleotide transfer RNA is filed under the name Elusimicrobiota bacterium. Its description in RNAcentral is "Elusimicrobia bacterium (groundwater metagenome) tRNA-Val". It matches the Rfam family "tRNA". Rfam says of the family: Transfer RNA (tRNA) molecules are approximately 80 nucleotides in length. Lineage: Bacteria; Pseudomonadati; Elusimicrobiota. The record is from RNAcentral.
GGGCAGUUAGCUCAGCGGAAGAGCGUUCCCUUCACACGGGAGAGGUCGUAGGUUCGAACCCUAUACUGCCCA